Molecule: small nuclear RNA, 162 nt
Filed under: Dasypus novemcinctus (nine-banded armadillo)
Lineage: Eukaryota; Metazoa; Chordata; Mammalia; Cingulata; Dasypodidae
Description: U1 spliceosomal RNA (ENSDNOG00000047229.1)
Rfam family: U1 spliceosomal RNA
About the family: U1 is a small nuclear RNA (snRNA) component of the spliceosome (involved in pre-mRNA splicing). Its 5' end forms complementary base pairs with the 5' splice junction, thus defining the 5' donor site of an intron. There are significant differences in sequence and secondary structure between metazoan and yeast U1 snRNAs, the latter being much longer (568 nucleotides as compared to 164 nucleotides in human).
Source: RNAcentral
AUACUUACCUGGCAGGGGAGAUACCAUGAUCACAAAGGUGGUUUUCGCAGGGCAAGGCUGAUCCAUGGCACUGAGGAUCUGCUGAAUUCAGCAAUAUCCCCACCUGGGGGAAACUUGGCUGCAUAAUUUGUGUUGGUGGGGUGUUACAUUUGCACUUCCCCU